ACUGGGCACAGUAGUGCACACCUGUAGUCACAGCUACUCGUGAAGUUAAGGCAGGAGGACCACUUGAGCCCAGGAGUUCUGGGUUAUAGUGUGCUGUGUUGAUCAGGCAUCCACAAUAAGUUUAGCAUCAAUGUAGUGACCUCCUGGGAGGGAGGGACUAGCAGGUUGCCUAAGGAGGGGUGAAGUGGUCCAGGUUAGAAAUGGAACAGGCCAAAACUCCCAUGCUGAUGGGUCGUGGGAUCACGCCUGUGAAUAGCCACUGCAUUCCAGCCUGGGCAACAUAGUGAGACUCCAUCUCUA
Unclassified non-coding RNA from Pongo abelii (Sumatran orangutan), 300 nucleotides. It matches the Rfam family "Metazoan signal recognition particle RNA". From Rfam's summary of the family: The signal recognition particle (SRP) is a universally conserved ribonucleoprotein. It is involved in the co-translational targeting of proteins to membranes. The record is from Ensembl. Lineage: Eukaryota; Metazoa; Chordata; Mammalia; Primates; Hominidae.